AGUGAACGCUGGCGGUAGGCCUAACACAUGCAAGUCGAACGGCAGCACAGUAAGAGCUUGCUCUUACGGGUGGCGAGUGGCGGACGGGUGAGGAAUACAUCGGAAUCUACUUUUUCGUGGGGGAUAACGUAGGGAAACUUACGCUAAUACCGCAUACGACCUACGGGUGAAAGCAGGGGAUCUUCGGACCUUGCGCGAUUGAAUGAGCCGAUGUCGGAUUAGCUAGUUGGCGGGGUAAAGGCCCACCAAGGCGACGAUCCGUAGCUGGUCUGAGAGGAUGAUCAGCCACACUGGAACUGAGACACGGUCCAGACUCCUACGGGAGGCAGCAGUGGGGAAUAUUGGACAAUGGGCGCAAGCCUGAUCCAGCCAUACCACGUGGGUGAAGAAGGCCUUCGGGUUGUAAAGCCCUUUUGUUGGGAAAGAAAAGCAGCAGGUUAAUACCCCGCUGUUCUGACGGUACCCAAAGAAUAAGCGCCGGCUAACUUCGUG
RNAcentral lists this ribosomal RNA (492 nucleotides) under uncultured bacterium. RNAcentral's name for it is "partial 16S ribosomal RNA". It matches the Rfam family "Bacterial small subunit ribosomal RNA", at positions 29 to 507 of the family's 1533-position model. The record is from RNAcentral.